Linepithema humile (Argentine ant) is the source of this 488-nucleotide non-coding RNA. The record is from RefSeq and is a predicted model, not a curated record. Lineage: Eukaryota; Metazoa; Arthropoda; Insecta; Hymenoptera; Formicidae.
CUCACUGUUGUCUGCUCAUCCUUCAACAUGAUGCAAUUCCAUCGGUCAUCUUACGAGCCCUGGAACAUCAAAAUUGGUAAGAGAUGGGCAAUGAAUAUUCUGAGCUAACCAAUAGGAGCGCGCGUUGCAGCCAACAUAAAAUGUACAAUUUUUAAUGAAAUACUUGCGUGGCAGUCUAGUGACGCUCGCCGAAACGUCACAACGUAAUGUGUCUUGUGUGUCGCUGUCUAUCCAUCGUUCUUCGUGAUAGUUUCAUCGGUUAUUCUGCAAGUCACUUAUAAAUACGAAAAAUUAUCUUGCCGCUGUCCAUCCGUCCUUCCACAUGCGGGAAUUUCAUCGAUCACUAUGCGAGUCUCUUGUGAGCAACAACGAGCGACAAACAUCAAAAAAUUGUGGCUGAAUAUCCAGAGAAUGCAGCGUAGUGUCUAUCGAAAAACAGCGGGUUGAAGCGGCACAGAUUGCGGGAGUCACCGGCGGCGGAAUGCCAU